CCUACGGGUGGCUGCAGUGGGGAAUAUUAGAAAUGGACGAAAGUCUGAUCUAGCGACACCGCGUGUGCGAUGAAGGCCUUCGGGUUGUAAAGCACUUUUUGGAAGGAAUAGGAAGGAAGGUACUUCCAGAAUAAGUCUCGGCUAACUACGUGCCAGCAGCCGCGGUAACACGUAGGAGGCAAACGUUAUCCGGAUUUACUGGGCGUAAAGCGCGUGUAGGUGGUUUUGUAAGUAGGGCGUGAAAGCUCCCGGCUCAACUGGGAGAGGCCGUUCUAAACUGCAGAACUAGAGGAUGGUAGAGGGAGGUGGAAUUCCAGGUGUAGCGGUGGAAUGCGCAGAUAUCUGGAGGAACACCAGUGGCGAAAGCGGCCUCCUGGACCAUUCCUGACACUCAGACGCGAAAGCUAGGGUAGCAAACGGGAUUAGAUACCCCGGUAGUC
This 440-nucleotide ribosomal RNA is filed under the name uncultured Anaerolineaceae bacterium. RNAcentral describes it as "bacterial SSU rRNA". It matches the Rfam family "Bacterial small subunit ribosomal RNA", at positions 338 to 795 of the family's 1533-position model. Lineage: Bacteria; Bacillati; Chloroflexota; Anaerolineae; Anaerolineales; Anaerolineaceae. The record is from RNAcentral.